Molecule: ribosomal RNA, 400 nt
Filed under: uncultured bacterium
Lineage: Bacteria
Description: bacterial SSU rRNA
Rfam family: Archaeal small subunit ribosomal RNA
Source: RNAcentral
GCGCGAAAACUUUACAAUGCUGGCAACAGCGAUAAGGGAACCUCGAGUGCCAGGUUACAAAUCUGGCUGUCGAGAUGCCUAAAAAGCAUUUCAUAGCAAGGGCCGGGCAAGACCGGUGCCAGCCGCCGCGGUAACACCGGCGGCUCGAGUGGUAACCGUUAUUAUUGGGUCUAAAGGGUCUGUAGCCGGCCGGAUAAGUCUCUUGAGAAAUCUGGCAGCUUAACUGUCAGGCUUUCAGGAGAUACUGUCUGGCUCGAGGCCGGGAGAGGUGAGAGGUACUUCAGGGGUAGGGUGAAAUCUUGUAAUCCUUGAAGGACCACCAGUGGCGAAGGCGUCUCACCAGAACGGACCUGACGGCAAGGGACGAAAGCUAGGGGCACGAACCGGAUUAGAAACCCCG